Molecule: ribosomal RNA, 483 nt
Filed under: uncultured bacterium
Lineage: Bacteria
Description: partial 16S ribosomal RNA
Rfam family: Bacterial small subunit ribosomal RNA
Source: RNAcentral
AUUGAACGCUGGCGGCAGGCCUAACACAUGCAAGUCGAGCGGAUGAAGGGAGCUUGCUCCUGGAUUCAGCGGCGGACGGGUGAGUAAUGCCUAGGAAUCUGCCUGGUAGUGGGGGAUAACGUCCGGACACGGGCGCUAAUACCGCAUACGUCCUGAGGGAGAAAGUGGGGGAUCUUCGGACCUCACGCUAUCAGAUGAGCCUAGGUCGGAUUAGCUAGUUGGUGGGGUAAAGGCCUACCAAGGCGACGAUCCGUAACUGGUCUGAGAGGAUGAUCAGUCACACUGGAACUGAGAAACGGUCCAGACUCCUACGGGAGGCAGCAGUGGGGAAUAUUGGACAAUGGGCGAAAGCCUGAUCCAGCCAUGCGGCGUGUGUGAAGAAGGUCUUCGGAUGGUAAAGCACUUUAAGUUGGGAGGAAGGGCAGUAAGUUAAUACCUUGCUGUUUUGACGUAACCAACAGAAUAAGCACCGGCUAACUUCGU